AGAGUUUGAUCCUGGCUCAGAUUGAACGCUGGCGGCAUGCCUUACACAUGCAAGUCGAACGGCAGCGCGGGGCAACCUGGCGGCGAGUGGCGAACGGGUGAGUAAUAUAUCGGAACGUACCCUGGAGUGGGGGAUAACGUAGCGAAAGUUACGCUAAUACCGCAUACGAUCUAAGGAUGAAAGCAGGGGACCGCAAGGCCUUGUGCUCCUGGAGCGGCCGAUAUCUGAUUAGCUAGUUGGUGGGGUAAAGGCCCACCAAGGCAUCGAUCAGUAGCUGGUCUGAGAGGACGACCAGCCACACUGGAACUGAGACACGGUCCAGACUCCUACGGGAGGCAGCAGUGGGGAAUUUUGGACAAUGGGCGCAAGCCUGAUCCAGCAAUGCCGCGUGAGUGAAGAAGGCCUUCGGGUUGUAAAGCUCUUUUGUCAGGGAAGAAACGGCCGUUUCUAAUACAGAUGGCUAAUGACGGUACCUGAAGAAUAAGCACCGGCUAACUACGUGCCAGCAGCCGCGGUAAUACGUAGGGUGCAAGCGUUAAUCGGAAUUACUGGGCGUAAAGCGUGCGCAGGCGGUUUUGUAAGUCUGUCGUGAAAUCCCCGGGCUCAACCUGGGAAUGGCGAUGGAGACUGCAAGGCUAGAGUUUGGCAGAGGGGGGUAGAAUUCCACGUGUAGCAGUGAAAUGCGUAGAUAUGUGGAGGAACACCGAUGGCGAAGGCAGCCCCCUGGGUCAAAACUGACGCUCAUGCACGAAAGCGUGGGGAGCAAACAGGAUUAGAUACCCUGGUAGUCCACGCCCUAAACGAUGUCUACUAGUUGUCGGGUCUUAAUUGACUUGGUAACGCAGCUAACGCGUGAAGUAGACCGCCUGGGGAGUACGGUCGCAAGAUUAAAACUCAAAGGAAUUGACGGGGACCCGCACAAGCGGUGGAUGAUGUGGAUUAAUUCGAUGCAACGCGAAAAACCUUACCUACCCUUGACAUGGAAGGAAUCCCGGAGAGAUUUGGGAGUGCCCGAAAGGGAACCUUUACACAGGUGCUGCAUGGCUGUCGUCAGCUCGUGUCGUGAGAUGUUGGGUUAAGUCCCGCAACGAGCGCAACCCUUGUCAUUAGUUGCUACGAAAGAGCACUCUAAUGAGACUGCCGGUGACAAACCGGAGGAAGGUGGGGAUGACGUCAAGUCCUCAUGGCCCUUAUGGGUAGGGCUUCACACGUCAUACAAUGGUACAUACAGAGGGCCGCCAACCCGCGAGGGGGAGCUAAUCCCAGAAAGUGUAUCGUAGUCCGGAUUGUAGUCUGCAACUCGACUGCAUGAAGUUGGAAUCGCUAGUAAUCGCGGAUCAGCAUGUCGCGGUGAAUACGUUCCCGGGUCUUGUACACACCGCCCGUCACACCCUGGGAGCGGGUUUUACCAGAAGUAGGUAGCUUAACCGUAAGGAGGGCGCUUACCACGG
RNAcentral lists this ribosomal RNA (1451 nucleotides) under metagenome. RNAcentral's name for it is "bacterial SSU rRNA". It matches the Rfam family "Bacterial small subunit ribosomal RNA". The record is from RNAcentral.